AACCUUUAGAUAUACAAAUAUUAAAGGCAACGCCUGCCCAGUGAACAAUUAAACGGCCGCGGUACCCUAACCGUGCAAAGGUAGCAUAAUCAUUUGUCUACUAAUUAUAGACCUGUAUGAAAGGCAAAAUGAGGGUCUGACUGUCUCUUAUAAUAAAUCAAUGAAACUGAUCUUCUAGUAAAAAAGCUAGAAUAUUCCCAUAAGACCAGAAGACCCUGUGAAGCUUAAACUAAACUAUUAAAACACAUAAUAACUAAUUUCGGUUGGGGCGACCUUGGAAAAAAAAAGAACUUCCAAACAACAUGAAUCCUACUUCAUUAAUACAGGCCUACAAGCCAAUUAAACGACCCAGCACAGCUGAAAAUCGAACAAAGUUACUCCAGGGAUAACAGCGCAAUCUUCUUCAAGAGCCCAUAUCAAAAAGAAGGUUUACGACCUCGAUGUUGGAUCAGGACAUCCUGACGGUGCAGCCGCUGUCGAGGGUUCGUUUGUUCAACGAUUAAGUCCU
This 508-nucleotide ribosomal RNA is filed under the name Spalerosophis diadema. Its description in RNAcentral is "partial 16S ribosomal RNA". It matches the Rfam family "Bacterial large subunit ribosomal RNA", at positions 1817 to 2597 of the family's 2925-position model. Lineage: Eukaryota; Metazoa; Chordata; Lepidosauria; Squamata; Colubridae. The record is from RNAcentral.